GUCAGGAUCGCCGAGUGGCCUAAGGUGCCAGACUCAAAGUUAUUCAACCUUUUCACGCAAUGAGAAUUCUUGUCAUCAGAUGGAGGCGUGGGUUCAAAUCCCAAUUCUGACA
Molecule: transfer RNA, 112 nt
Filed under: Danio rerio (zebrafish)
Lineage: Eukaryota; Metazoa; Chordata; Actinopteri; Cypriniformes; Danionidae
Rfam family: tRNA
About the family: Transfer RNA (tRNA) molecules are approximately 80 nucleotides in length. Their secondary structure includes four short double-helical elements and three loops (D, anti-codon, and T loops). Further hydrogen bonds mediate the characteristic L-shaped molecular structure. tRNAs have two regions of fundamental functional importance: the anti-codon, which is responsible for specific mRNA codon recognition, and the 3' end, to which the tRNAs corresponding amino acid is attached (by aminoacyl-tRNA synthetases). tRNAs cope with the degeneracy of the genetic code in two manners: having more than one tRNA (with a specific anti-codon) for a particular amino acid; and 'wobble' base-pairing, i.e. permitting non-standard base-pairing at the 3rd anti-codon position.
Source: Rfam by way of RNAcentral